This 576-nucleotide ribosomal RNA is filed under the name Triticum aestivum (bread wheat). Its description in RNAcentral is "partial small subunit ribosomal RNA". The record is from RNAcentral. Lineage: Eukaryota; Viridiplantae; Streptophyta; Magnoliopsida; Poales; Poaceae.
AUGGUCGUGUGCGACUUCGACCUGAACUUCACCUUCAUUUCUUGUGGCUGGGAGGGAUCUGCUACUAAUGCUAAAGUUCUUCGGUCAACAAUUAACCACGAGUUUCAUGUACCUCCUGGCAAGUUUUAUCUGGUUGAUGGUGGUUAUGCCAACGCAACUUACUUCUUGGCACCGUAUCAUGGUGUUUGGUACCAUCUGAAGGAGUUUGCACGCGGUCGUCGUCGACCCCAAAAUCACAGGGAGCUAUUCAAUCUCCGGCAUGCCGUGUUACGAAAUCACAUCGGACGGGGAUUAGGAAUCUUGAAGAAGCGGUUCCCAAUCCUAAAAGUGGGCACACAUCAUCAAAUAGAUAACCAAGUCAAGCUACCAGCAGCAGCUGCAAUCUUACAUAACAUCAUCCGAUCUGAAAGAGGAGAUGAGUGUUGGUUAGAUAACCAACAAAACAAUAUACCUGUCAUGAAUUUUGUGGAUCUUCUUGACAAUAAUAUUCCUCAAAAUCAUCAAAUCAACCAUGAAGGCGACAACCUUAGAGAUGCCAUUGCUCAUCAAAUGUGGGCUGAUUAUCAACAUGCAUAA